AACAACUUUUCAGUUUUUUUGCAACAGUGCCUUUUGAAACCCCCUUUCUCUGUUGACCACUUCACAUUUCACAUCCAUCCAUACCCCAGACAAAGGAGUAAGGGUCCCACUGAGUCAUACUCAGUUCCCAAAUGACCUGUGGUUUUUGAGAGAAGCUUAGUGCAUUAAUCAACUUAUUUUAAAAUAUCUAUUUGGAUUUAUUGUGUGCAAAGCAUUGAACUGGACAAUGAUGGAGGCCUCCUCAAGAUGAGGGAGACAUACAUAGAGUUUGGAGUCUUUAAGUGAGGUUAAGAUCCAGUGGAGAUAUUGAAAUGUACACAAAGGAGACAAGUGAGGCUGAGUAAGUGUAGGCAUGAGGAGGAGGAGGGUGGAAAGCUAAGCAUGAAUUAAAUCUGCAACUUAUCAGUUAUAAGACUUAAAUUUUACAUUGAGGAUAGGUACUUAUACUCCCUUUCUCUUCAGAAAGCUGAUGGUGGAGUCCAAAACGGUUCUAGGGACAGGCAGACAGCCCAUUUCAAUGCCAUCUCAGACCUAUUAAGUGUAGACUGUCCUUUUUGGCUAGAAGAGUGAUCCAGAGUUCUGGUGGAAGGGGCCAUGUUGUUUAAGUGGAAACAGGGAAAACAUAAAAAAGCAGCUGAUAUACCAUCUUUAAUGAUCUAUAAGGAUAUCAAGACAGUGGAUGGCUUAAAUGAUUAUUUUUGUCACUUAAAUCUAGAACUCACGUAAGGUUUCUGCUAGGAUCUCAUUAAUGCAUCCUCUAAUGGAAGACAUUUUAUCCAACAUUUCCUUUGUGUAGAAUGUGUGUGAAUUUAUAGAGCAUGUAGUUUACUACAUUUUCUCAUUUGGUUCUUAUACCUGCCUUGUAAACAGAGCAGGUCUUAGUUCAAAAAAUUAUGGGACUAGUUUCUCACUAACCAGGGGGUAAUUAUCUGGAAGUUAAGGACCAUAUUGUGUCUCCAAGGGCCAGAAAAUGAUUGAACUGAAGAGACUGAGACAGAGAUGCUGCAAAACCUCAAAAGCUCUCCUCAGUUCUGUGCUCUUAUUAAUGACAAAAUAGCAACCAAUGUUUGGGUACAACAGGUCAACUGGGACUGCAUCCAAAGGAACAUCUCUGAUGCUACAGACAUUUCGCAAACCCUAAGGUUCUGAAGGGAGGUUUCAGCAUGAUCAGAAAUUCAGGAAUUGCUAGGUUCCACUGGUCCAGGGCUAGGGAGGAACAAAGCCAGAAGUAGGGUGAAUGGAUUCAUAGCUAUGAGACCACCGAUGUGUGCUCUCCCUUCAAGGGAUGUCUUCAACCUCGACUACUUUUAUCUUUAGGUUUUUAUGGCCCAUCUCAUUGGCCUGACCCUGAGGGCAGGAGAUUAGAAACCUUAUGGGAGUUUCAAGCAGCUAAAACAUAUCACCAAGUGGAGACACAUCUUUAUGUCCAUGUCCCUUUCUUAAGCCAGGACUACAUCCUCUAGUGGACUUAAGGUUCAAUAAUGGGGGCAAUAUUCACAGCAAUCUGAUAUAAUGUAUUCCAAAGGUGACAGUGAGGAUUAUGGGAGACACAUCCUUCUGGGAAGAGUUCUUCCUCUCCUGGAAGGGUCAAAAGUAUGGUUUCCAAUUAAGUAAGUUUAAGGAGUCUAAUUUAACUUGACACUGAUCCUUAAACGACGGAAUGAGACAAAACAUGGCAGCAGUACAUGAAGAUUGUGCUAAUCAGGGAGUCUUGAUGGUGUUAGAUAUUAUUUUGGCAUAGGACCCAGGAGAACAUAAAUUCUGUCUUAGCUCAGCCUCUCCUUUUCCUUAUGUAUUUACAAAGAUAUACAUUUACAAAGAACAAAGGGAAAGAAAGGCAAAUUCACAUUUUAUUAUUAGGUGGGAUUGAGACCCAGUCCAGUACAGAGAGCUUUGGCAAGCUGGGAUAGAGCAGUUUUCCUCAAGUUAAGAAGAACUCAGGAGCUUCAGCCAAGGGUCAGUUCAACAUGCUUGUUAACACAGUGCAAAAAUAAGCAGAGAGAGACUCAUCUAGGUACCAAGCUGGCCCGAACUGCCUAGGCAGUAGCCUGAGGACUCAUGCUAUUAAAUUUAUUAGUUUUUUAAUUUUAUGUUUCAAGUCUUUUGUGUCUGAGUAAAAAAAUCAUUGCCUACCUCAAGGUCUCAGAGAUUUUCUCUUUUGUUUUCCUCUAGGAGUUUUAUGGUUUUCACUUUGGUUUUGUUUUAUGAUCUAUUUCAAGUUAAUUUUUAUAUGAUGUGUGGGAGUUCCCGUCGUGGCGCAGUGGUUAACGAAUCCGACUAGGAACCAUGAGGUUGCGGGUUCGGUCCCUGCCCUUGCUCAGUGGGUUAACUAUCCAGCAUUGCCGUGAGCUGUGGUGUAGGUUGCAGACGCGGCUCGGAUCCCUUGUUGCUGUGGCUCUGGUGUAGGCCUGUGGCUACAGCUCCGCAGCUCCGAUUCGACCCCUAGCCUGGGAACCUCCACAUUCUGCAGGAGCGGCCCAAGAAAU
Molecule: long non-coding RNA, 2486 nt
Filed under: Sus scrofa (pig)
Lineage: Eukaryota; Metazoa; Chordata; Mammalia; Artiodactyla; Suidae
Description: lncRNA (ENSSSCG00050053728.1)
Source: RNAcentral